This is a long non-coding RNA of Hevea brasiliensis (rubber tree), 316 nucleotides long. RefSeq lists it as uncharacterized. NCBI's taxonomy places the organism in Eukaryota, Viridiplantae, Streptophyta, Magnoliopsida, Malpighiales, Euphorbiaceae. The record is from RefSeq and is a predicted model, not a curated record. The transcript is spliced from 2 exons.
AGAGUCCCUCAUGCAAUCUCCCAACUGCCACAACCUCCUUAGUCACUUGGUCCUGCAAAACACAAGUUUCAGAAGAAAAAUUUGCUACAAUGUUGGAUGUUUGGGUCUGUUGAAGAGGAACUCGAAGGCAGGCAUCACACCCUUGGCUGACCUUUCUUUCAGUUUCUUUAUACGCACUGUUUCAUUUAAAUUCCACAAUUCUUCUUCUGCUCUUGUAUACGCUGCGUUUCAUUUAAUAAAUAGUUUAUCAAUAUUACUAAUUAAAAGUGUUGUAUUGAUUUAGAAGUGUGCCAAUUAUGAAUUUUAUUGUUAAUAA